Molecule: ribosomal RNA, 98 nt
Filed under: Trichogramma pretiosum
Lineage: Eukaryota; Metazoa; Arthropoda; Insecta; Hymenoptera; Trichogrammatidae
Description: partial 28S ribosomal RNA
Source: RNAcentral
CUCUCGCUAUUUUAUUAUAGCGCCGGGGUAGCUCGAACAGCGACAACGAGUCUUUUUUCUCAGAUCGACGACCUCGGAGCAAGACAGGGCAAAACAAA